GAUGAACGCUGGCGGCGUGCCUAAUACAUGCAAGUCGAGCGAACAGACGAGAAGCUUGCUUCUCUGACGUUAGCGGCGGACGGGUGAGUAACACGUGGAUAACCUACCUAUAAGACUGGGAUAACUUCGGGAAACCGGAGCUAAUACCGGAUAAUAUAUUGAACCGCAUGGUUCAAUAGUGAAAGACGGUUUUGCUGUCACUUAUAGAUGGAUCCGCGCUGCAUUAGCUAGUUGGUAAGGUAACGGCUUACCAAGGCAACGAUGCAUAGCCGACCUGAGAGGGUGAUCGGCCACACUGGAACUGAGACACGGUCCAGACUCCUACGGGAGGCAGCAGUAGGGAAUCUUCCGCAAUGGGCGAAAGCCUGACGGAGCAACGCCGCGUGAGUGAUGAAGGUCUUCGGAUCGUAAAACUCUGUUAUUAGGGAAGAACAAAUGUGUAAGUAACUAUGCACGUCUUGACGGUACCUAAUCAGAAAGCCACGGCUAACUACGUG
Molecule: ribosomal RNA, 497 nt
Filed under: uncultured bacterium
Lineage: Bacteria
Description: partial 16S ribosomal RNA
Rfam family: Bacterial small subunit ribosomal RNA
Source: RNAcentral